GAUGAACGCUGGCGGCGUGCCUAAUACAUGCAAGUCGAGCGAACAGACGAGGAGCUUGCUCCUCUGACGUUAGCGGCGGACGGGUGAGUAACACGUGGAUAACCUACCUAUAAGACUGGGAUAACUUCGGGAAACCGGAUCUAAUACCGGAUAAUAUAUUGAACCGCAUGGUUCAAUAGUGAAAGACGGUUUUGCUGUCACUUAUAGAUGGAUCCGCGCCGCAUUAGCUAGUUGGUAAGGUAACGGCUUACCAAGGCAACGAUGCGUAGCCGACCUGAGAGGGUGAACGGCCACACUGGAACUGAGACACGGUCCAGACUCCUACGGGAGGCAGCAGUAGGGAAUCUUACGCAAUGGGCGAAAGCCUGACGGAGCAACGCCGCGUGAGUGAUGAAGGUCUUCGGAUCGUAAAACUCUGUUAUUAGGGAAGAACAAAUGUGUAAGUAACUAUGCACGUCUUGACGGUAACUAAUCAGAAAGCCACGGCUAACUACGUG
RNAcentral lists this ribosomal RNA (497 nucleotides) under uncultured bacterium. RNAcentral's name for it is "partial 16S ribosomal RNA". It matches the Rfam family "Bacterial small subunit ribosomal RNA", at positions 28 to 507 of the family's 1533-position model. The record is from RNAcentral.